GGAGAACGAGGCCCCCGAGGUCUUCCUGGACUCCGAGGUGAGGAAGGAUGCCCUGGUAUGAGGGGACCUAAGGGAGCAAGAGGAUUUUCAGGAGAGAAGGGCAACCCUGGUGAGGAAGGAGUUGAUGGCUUGGAUGGAGAACAGGGUAAUCGCGGAAUCCCAGGGUCAUCUGGAGAAAAAGGAAAUAGGGGAAAUUGGGGCUUGACGGGACCGCCAGGACAACCUGGAGAGCGUGGAGAGCCUGGGUUAAGGGGAGAUCCUGGGGAUCCUGGAACUAAUAGCUAUAUCCAAGGCCCUAAGGGAGAAAAAGGAAGGCGUGGGCGUCAGGGAAGUUCUAAUGUUGAUGGACCUCAGGGAGAAACUGGAAAUGUCGGCCCUUGGGGGACAAUAGGAAGGCGAGGUCUGCCAGGAUUAAAGGGACCAAGAGGAAGGCAAGGACCACCAGGAACUUCUGGACAAAAAGGCUUAGUGGGUGCUCAGGGGAAUCCUGGGCCUCCAGGGCCAAAUGGUUCAAAAGGAAAAGCUGGACCAAGAGGAGUGAAGGGAGAGAUUGGUGAUGUAGGAGAAAGAGGCCCACAGAGUCGACAAGGACCAAGAGGGCAACCUGGUGAACCUGGAUUCCCUGGCUAUCCUCGUGCACAAGGAGAAGAUGGUGACCCGGGCCAUCAAGGAGAAAAGGGGGCAAAGGGAAUAAGAGGGAAGAGGGGUAAUGCUGGCUUUCCUGGAUUUGUUGGAACUUCGGGUGACCAAGGCCCACCAGGACAAAUGGGUAUCAAGGGCCCCAAAGGUUUGGUAGAUAUGACGCCUUGCAAAAUUGUUGAUUUCACACGCGAAAACUGCCGUAAGUUGUUUCGGAAAGGCUCAAAAGGAGCCAGUGGUAUGAGCUGGGGAUGGAUUACGGAUUAGGGCCAUAAGUCACCUGAGGCUUUGGCUGAGGUUUGGAAGGUGCCUUAUUCAUUGUGAAAGGCUCUUAUAAAUUCAUCCAUUGGGCUCAGUUGCCCUUUAGGUAAGUAAUCUUUCCCAAUGUGGUCUCAGAAAUAAAGUGGAUUGACAGCAUGACAUCUCAACGAUGAAGAGAAGCUCCACUGAGCAAUACUGUGCCCCAGGAGAUGUCAUAACUGCACACCUGUGUGCCUACAUCUUGCUGCUGCUUAUCACAAAACAGAGGAGCUUUGUUCUUUUUAUGUAACCCUAUUAAAUAGGAGGGAUCAACAGUCACCCUUUGAGAAGAAAUCUGUCCUAUUUUAUUUACAGUUGUGUUUUGAAAAUGGAAUUAUGAACAAUCCAAUCUUAAGUAAUGUUUUGUCACAUCCUCAAGUUGGAAUUUAUUUAUUAUGUUCAAUGCAUUCCAGGAUAUUUGUGUCCUAUGAUAUGUACAGU
Molecule: long non-coding RNA, 1380 nt
Filed under: Pan troglodytes (chimpanzee)
Lineage: Eukaryota; Metazoa; Chordata; Mammalia; Primates; Hominidae
Description: long non-coding RNA NONPTRT011586
Source: RNAcentral